UUAAUUUAAUUAAAAUUUUAUACUCAGACGACUGGUUUAAAACAAGAGUUUGGUUAGACUCUGGCGGGCGCUCGCCUGUCCGGAGACCGGCGCGCUUCCGGUCGAGACCUUUCACGGUCCCGCCAAAGCAACGAAGUAGUUAUAACGACAGAGGGUUGGAGGUUCGGGCCAGAGACCCUUACUCUUUAAUGAUCCUUCCGCAGGUUCACCUACGGAAA
This 218-nucleotide unclassified non-coding RNA is filed under the name uncultured fungus. RNAcentral describes it as "sequence contains ITS1". Lineage: Eukaryota; Fungi. The record is from RNAcentral.